Molecule: long non-coding RNA, 2034 nt
Filed under: Erythranthe guttata (spotted monkey flower)
Lineage: Eukaryota; Viridiplantae; Streptophyta; Magnoliopsida; Lamiales; Phrymaceae
Description: long non-coding RNA (EGUT_LNC002713)
Source: RNAcentral
GAAGAUUAAAUAUUAACUGAAACCCUAAUACAUCUGCUGCCUCACUUUCCUAGGUUUCUUCGUCAGAUAAAAUUACUAUAAAAAGGAAUAUAUAUCUGUCUGAAUCUGUGUCGGGAUAUAUAUAACAAAAAUGGAUCUUGGUCAACCAUUCUUUGAAGAUCUCCACCGCCCACCGCCUCCACCCGAACCUCCGCCGCCAUUUUUGCCGUGAUGUUUAUCUAGGUCUCAAAGAAAUGGAUGACGGUUUACAGGUAGUUGUUUCUUCUUCUUCUUUUUUAAUUUUUCGGCAUCUUUCGUCUUUUGAUUAGUUUGUGACAUUGUGUGCAUGCGAAAUCGAAUUUAAUUUUUCCGGUUUUUUUAGUCCAGAUCUGAUACAUAAUGAUGUGGCAAAUGGAGAUGUUUUAUAAUCUGCAUUUUUUAUUUGUUUUCUCAAACUACUAAAAUGUUUCUGAAACCCAAACCGAAACCGAAUGUGAAUUUGGUACUUUCUAUAGGUUUGGGUGAUAGAUUUUUGCCCUUUUAGGCUUACAUUUUUACUGAUAUAUGAAAACUUAUGAAACCCUAGAAGGUUCUUUUCUUUUAGAUUUGAUGCAUUUUUUCGGAGUUAAUUUAUGAGAAAAAUUAAAUAACUAAAAGAACGAGAGAUAAUGGGAGAACAACAAGGAUCCCGUUUUACCGAUUUCCUUGUCUUUAAUAUUUUGUCAGUGUCAUUUUUUAUUUAACUCUCUCUUUUUUUGUGGACAGAUAGACGGUGUUGCGUUGGUGGAGUAUCUUGAACAAUAUUUAUAAGCCACGCGUGUGCAAAACCAAUUUUCGGCAAACCAAUUUUCUUAGGGGAAGCGUAAAAAAGUUUAUAAAGUCUCUCUUCUAUUUAAUUUAUUCUUGACCAACCGAUGAAGGUUUUGGUAGAGGAGAAUCUCGAACUAUAUUCUCGUCAGCGACCCAAUAAAGGCAAUGCCAACUUCCAUGAGGCACACUGUCAAGGGGCAGACUCAAACAGUAUGAGUGAUACUCUGCAUCGUACACUCGGCGUAAAUGAGAACCCUCUUAUUUUUCCUUUCCUCGUCAAUUAUAUUCCACAACUCUGCACACGCCUUCAUCCAUGGGUACGGUGCAAAUAAAGCGUUUGUCGAAGAUUUACAAGAGGUAUUUUUUUCUAUGUUUUGAUGCACAUGAAUGUAUCGACCGCGUAAUAAUUUAAUUCGUUCCGUGGUGAUGCUUUAGACACGUAUUAUUUUUCCAUGGACUUGUAUAUGAAUUUAAAUUUCGGACAUUUCCGUGUUAAGUUAUCGUAUCUUUUACAAUAAUGUUGCAUUUGUUUAAUUAUAUGGUUUAUUAUUAGCCAUUUAAAUUAUUUUCUAUUGUUCUCUUUCUAAACAUAGCUUUGUUCUCGACUUGUAGUUUUUGUGAAAUGUGCAGAUUUGAGCGAGGAAUAUGUCACACUUUGGUUCGUUGAGAAAUAUGUCACGCAUUUGAAUCCUCAUAUUUGAGAGAGGUACACAUUAUAUAUAUAUAUAUAUAUAUAUAUAACUCGAAUAUGUGGUCAUUCUUUACGUAAUCUUAGUUCUUGAGAGCUAUUGUUGCUUUAGUCACAUUUACCCUUGGUUUUUUUUAAAAUUUAUUUAGAUUGUUCGUUGACGAUCAGAAAUUGGGAAAUCAGUAAAAUUUAGAGUCAUUAGAUACGGAUUCUAAGAAGGAGAUAUUGUUGAUGCUGCAAUUCCCAAGAGCACCGUGGAGUAAGAAAGUUCCAUACUUUGCGACAAAUGUGAAGCAGAGUAUCACACAUAUUGUUUGCGUAGUGUGCUUCAAGGAAGUUCGUUGCUUUUGUUGUGUCGCUGAGGAGAAUGUAGUUCGAGGUUCUCCUUCUAUCAAAACAUCGGUUGGUCAAGAGCAAAAGAAACCGAAGAGGGAUUUUAUAAAAUGUUGCAAUUGUCAUUUAAUAUAUAUAUGUAUUUAGCUAUAAUUUUUGAUAUUGUUACAAUAAGAAAUCAAAAAUCAGUAGUUUCAUUUUUUUGCUUGUAGCCAAAAUAUUUC